GACGAACGCUGGCGGCGUGCCUAAUACAUGCAGGUAGAACGCUGAAGGAGGAGCUUGCUUCUCUGGAUGAGUUGCGAACGGGUGAGUAACGCGUAGGUAACCUGCCUGGUAGCGGGGGAUAACUAUUGGAAACGAUAGCUAAUACCGCAUAAUAGUAGAUGUCGCAUGACAUUUGCUUAAAAGGUGCAAUUGCAUCACUACCAGAUGGACCUGCGUUGUAUUAGCUAGUUGGUGAGGUAACGGCUCACCAAGGCAACGAUACAUAGCCGACCUGAGAGGGUGAUCGGCCACACUGGGACUGAGACACGGCCCAGACUCCUACGGGAGGCAGCAGUAGGGAAUCUUCGGCAAUGGACGGAAGUCUGACCGAGCAACGCCGCGUGAGUGAAGAAGGUUUUCGGAUCGUAAAGCUCUGUUGUAAGAGAAGAACGAGUGUGAGAGUGGAAAGUUCACACUGUGACGGUAGCUUACCAGAAAGGGACGGCUAACUACGUG
RNAcentral lists this ribosomal RNA (495 nucleotides) under uncultured bacterium. RNAcentral describes it as "partial 16S ribosomal RNA". It matches the Rfam family "Bacterial small subunit ribosomal RNA", at positions 28 to 507 of the family's 1533-position model. The record is from RNAcentral.